UACUGUACAACUAUACAGAUUGAUCAUUCUCUCUCUCUCUCUCUCUCAUCAAAAUUCAUACACAUUUCUCUGUAUUUAGCUAUGCAUUCCCCUUCCUCUCUCGCAAUUCGAUUUGAUCGCCUUUUCUGAUUGAAGAAGUGACUCUGAAUCAGUGACACUGUACGCUCUUUACCACCCAUCGAUUGUCGCUAUUUUCUUCCGGCGGUGAGAUGGCGCGGAUGCUACUCAGCUCUGCGGCGAUCGACGCCGGAGGAGUCGGAGAACUGUCCGCCUCCUGGUGGAACCACAUCAACGCCUCCGUACAAUGGCAAGACGGAAUAUUCUUCACGCUUUGCGCUGUUUAUGCCCUCCUUUCGUCCGUCGCCCUUAUUCAAUUGAUAAGAAUCGAAUUAAGGGUGCCUGAAUAUGGAUGGACUACUCAAAAGGUUUUCCACUUGAUGAAUUUUGUUGUAAAUGGAGUGCGUGCUGUUGUGUUUGGAUUUCAUAAGCAAGUAUUUUUUCUGAAUCCCAAGGCCCUAACUUUGCUACUCCUAGAUCUUCCUGACCUGCUGUUCUUUUCUACAUAUACACUUCUUGUCCUUUUCUGGGCCGAAAUAUAUCAUCAGGCUAGAAGCAUGCCAACAGAGAAAUUGAGAAUCUUCUACAUUUCUAUCAAUGGUGCAAUCUACAUAAUACAGUUCGGUAUCUGGCUGUACCUUGGAUUAGAUGAGAACGUCAUUGUACAAUUCAUCGGAAAGAUAUUUAUAGCAGUGGUAUCAGUCAUAGCUGCUUUGGGCUUUGUAAUAUAUGGAGGAAGGCUAUUUUUCAUGCUUAGACGCUUCCCCAUUGAAUCCAAAGGGAGGAGAAAGAAACUUCAUGAGGUUGGAUCUGUGACAGCUAUAUGCUUCACUUGUUUUCUUAUAAGGUGCUUCGUGGUAUUGCUGUCGGCUUUCGAUUCAGAUGCAUCACUGGAUGUUAUGUACCAUCCAGUUCUGAAUCUGAUCUAUUACAUGCUCGUCGAGAUCCUUCCUUCAGCUCUUGUCUUGUUCAUUUUGCGCAAGCUACCGCCUAAAAGAAUAUCUGCUCAGUACCAUGCCAUCCACUGAAGGCCCGAGUCACACUCACAAUAUUCAUGUCGUUGAUGGUGACAUCUGACUGAAUCUGGUGCUACUGAAGAUGAAGAUGAACGCCUUGACGUGAAAAAGAUGAAUUUUCAGAUCACUCCUCUCUCUCACAAUUAGAGUCCGGAAUUUCGUCCAUACAAGAACCCUGGUUCUUAGGUCUCCCGGUCGGGUUUAACAGAAUGGUUAGAGAGGAAUGGAAGAAAUUGGGCAGCAUCUUCGUCACAAGGAAGUUGAUGGACUUCACCAACUUAUAAGGAGAUGGCAUAAUCUGAUCUUUUGAAAUAUGGAUUCGGGCAGCAAGAAGCUUGAAGAAGAUCAACUUCGAACUCAAAAUAAAAUUUGCUGGUGUGGAGAGGAGAUGGAACCAACUAAAACUUGUUGGAAUCGAACAUGCAUUUGAGUAUGCACUGAUUCACAAAUAUGAGCUUGUGGUGGCUCAGAAGAAUAUACAUUGAAGUAUGGCAUAGGGAGCUUGAUAUUUGUCACAUGAUGCACCCGACCAGAUCUUUCCGUGUCUUGAGUGCAAGUUGAUUCAAGUUUCCAAGCAAUCCAAGCAAAGAUAAUUGAAAAGUUCUACAUUAAGUUUUGAGAUACUUGAACCUUGAUAUGUAAUCCUCAAGUACUUGAAGGUUACUGUGACACGAAUUAGAUCUCUGAUUUGAGAAAUUUAUUUUUGCCAAGUAUAAUACAUUGCCGGGAUGAUAAUAUUUCGUGAAAGUCAAUGAGACAGACGUGUAUAACC
Molecule: non-coding RNA, 1845 nt
Organism: Salvia hispanica
Lineage: Eukaryota; Viridiplantae; Streptophyta; Magnoliopsida; Lamiales; Lamiaceae
Source: RefSeq, a predicted model, not a curated record